AGUUAAAUACUUUAUGAAAGUAUUAUGUUUUGAAAGCAUAAUAAAGAGGUUUAAUCCCUCUAUUAACUU
This 69-nucleotide transfer RNA is filed under the name Episymploce wulingensis. RNAcentral describes it as "tRNA-Ser". Lineage: Eukaryota; Metazoa; Arthropoda; Insecta; Blattodea; Blattellidae. The record is from RNAcentral.